This 429-nucleotide ribosomal RNA is filed under the name bacterium. RNAcentral describes it as "partial 16S ribosomal RNA". It matches the Rfam family "Bacterial small subunit ribosomal RNA", at positions 355 to 776 of the family's 1533-position model. The record is from RNAcentral.
UGGGGAAUUUUGGACAAUGGGCGAAAGCCUGAUCCAGCAAUGCCGCGUGUGUGAAGAAGGCCUUCGGGUUGUAAAGCACUUUUGUCCGGAAAGAAAUGGCUCUGGUUAAUACCUGGGGUCGAUGACGGUACCGGAAGAAUAAGGACCGGCUAACUACGUGCCAGCAGCCGCGGUAAUACGUAGGGUCCAAGCGUUAAUCGGAAUUACUGGGCGUAAAGCGUGCGCAGGCGGUUGUGCAAGACCGAUGUGAAAUCCCCGAGCUUAACUUGGGAAUUGCAUUUGUGACUGCACGGCUAGAGUGUGUCAGAGGGGGGUAGAAUUCCACGUGUAGCAGUGAAAUGCGUAGAGAUGUGGAGGAAUACCGAUGGCGAAGGCAGCCCCCUGGGAUAACACUGACGCUCAUGCACGAAAGCGUGGGGAGCAAACAGG